GCAAGUCGAGCGAGAAAGUCGCCUUCGGGUGGCGAGUAAAGCGGCGAAAGGGUGAGUAACGCGUGGAUAAUCUGCCUUUUGGUCUGGGACAACCCCGGGAAACUGGGGCUAAUACCGGAUGAGACUACGAUUCCUUCGGGUUUUGUGGAAAAAGAUGGCCUCUCCUUGGAAGCUAUCGCCAGAAGAUGAGUCCGCGUUCCAUUAGCUUGUUGGCGAGGUAACGGCUCACCAAGGCUACGAUGGAUAGCUGGUCUGAGAGGAUGAUC
RNAcentral lists this ribosomal RNA (266 nucleotides) under uncultured bacterium. RNAcentral describes it as "partial 16S ribosomal RNA". It matches the Rfam family "Bacterial small subunit ribosomal RNA", at positions 57 to 305 of the family's 1533-position model. The record is from RNAcentral.